UCGAUGCUAAUUGUUUUGGAUAGAUCAAAAAAGCGAUUAGAUAUUGAAAUCAUAGUAUUUCGUUGUUAUAAUUCAAAUUCUAGUUAUAAGACUGAGAAGAAUAACCUUUUUAUAUAAAAAGGAAACUUUUGGUCGUAUAUUCGGCCAUUGUGCGCGUUUCAAAUAUUAUGCAUAAUAUAGGGUAUAAUUAAGUUGAUCACUUAUUAUACUUGCAGAGGGGUAUGACUUAAUCUUUAUGGUUAUCUGAUACACCUGAGUAUAUCAAAGUAAAUGUGAGACCCCAAAAUUUAUGAAUAAAGAUUUAAAUUUCUCGAAAUAUUUUUUUU
RNAcentral lists this long non-coding RNA (326 nucleotides) under Panax ginseng (ginseng). RNAcentral describes it as "long non-coding RNA (PGIN_LNC005129)". Lineage: Eukaryota; Viridiplantae; Streptophyta; Magnoliopsida; Apiales; Araliaceae. The record is from RNAcentral.